RNAcentral lists this ribosomal RNA (253 nucleotides) under uncultured bacterium. Its description in RNAcentral is "partial 16S ribosomal RNA". It matches the Rfam family "Bacterial small subunit ribosomal RNA", at positions 524 to 776 of the family's 1533-position model. The record is from RNAcentral.
GACGAAGGAUGCAAGCGUUAUCCGGAUUCAUUGGGGUUAAAGGGAGCGUAGGUGGUCUUAUAAGUCAGUGGUGAAAUCCUGUCGCUUAACGAUAGAAUUGCCAUUGAUACUGUAGGACUUGAGUACAGUUGCCGUUGGCGGAAUAUGACAUGUAGUGGUGAAAUACAUAGAUAUGUCAUAGAACACCGAUUGCGAAGGCAGCUGACGAAACUGUAACUGACACUGAGGCUCGAAAGUGUGGGGAUCGAACAGG